Long non-coding RNA from Topomyia yanbarensis, 976 nucleotides. RefSeq lists it as uncharacterized. The transcript is spliced from 3 exons. Lineage: Eukaryota; Metazoa; Arthropoda; Insecta; Diptera; Culicidae. The record is from RefSeq and is a predicted model, not a curated record.
AACCUGGCCUGGUCGGUUUGGUCAGUCGUUGGCAGGCGCUCUAUUACCACGGACCGUGGUUUGUGGAAUAACGCGCGUGUAAUACCAGCCAUACACCAUUUCCCCUCUUCGUCUGAUUUGGAUCACUCUCGCGUGCUAAAAGUGUAUUAGCGUAGCGUUUAUUAGCGUAGCGGAUGGAGAAGACAGCACACUAUUAGCUGUUUAAUCGCUGUCUUCGUGGGAAUAUUUGAUUUCAUUGUCAGCGAUUCGAAGAUUUAAGAAGUAGUUCCAAAUGGGCAGCAUAAACAAUCCAAAACAGUACACGAAGUACAGCAAAAACACCACGGGAUGCAAGGUCAGGAAGUGUGUUCCAAUGCAGCGAAGCGUGUUUCGAUUGGGAUCGGGAAAUUUGUUCAAACUAAUACUGAUCAGAAUCAUCACAAUUCUGAACAACAUGGUGAACAAGUUUCGAUAGAUGUUCCAACACGAUCAGUUUGAUAUGUCCAAUCAUCAAAAUCGAUCCUAUAACAAGUGCAUUUUCUAGAACUUAUUUUUAAUUCGACUAGCCAAACAUAUCGACCAAUAUGCGCUCGAUUGCCCGCGAAGCCCGUACUUGUCUGCUGCCGUCAGGUAUGACAUCACGGAUUAGCAGGCGAAGCGAAUCGAACAUCGGAUUAAUGACAAACGAUAGAAAGUGCAGUUGGCGCUGGACCAACACAACCAAUCGACAAAUAUGCAACGGCUAAUCGAACAGUAUCGAGUGCAGUUUUCGAAUGAUUAACACGGUGAUAGAGAAGCGCAUUAAAAUCGGUUUGAUUGAGUAAAGUACAGAUUUAGUAAUUUUGUGAGACUUGAGGGUGCGAUAGGUACAACCAGAAAUCAAUUCCAAUAAAGAUGUACCGAAAUGGAUAUAGCCGCUGGCGUCAGGAAGCCUGUAUUCGAGAUGUGAUUUUUGCGCUCAUCGCAAUAAUGUUUCUAUUAUGUUGCUAGUUAUGAG